RNAcentral lists this ribosomal RNA (253 nucleotides) under uncultured bacterium. Its description in RNAcentral is "partial 16S ribosomal RNA". It matches the Rfam family "Bacterial small subunit ribosomal RNA", at positions 524 to 776 of the family's 1533-position model. The record is from RNAcentral.
UACGAAGGGGGCUAGCGUUGCUCGGAAUCACUGGGCGUAAAGGGUGCGUAGGCGGGUCUUUAAGUCAGGGGUGAAAUCCUGGAGCUCAACUCCAGAACUGCCUUUGAUACUGAAGAUCUUGAGUUCGGGAGAGGUGAGUGGAACUGCGAGUGUAGAGGUGAAAUUCGUAGAUAUUCGCAAGAACACCGGUGGCGAAGGCGGCCUUCUGGUCGGAUACUGACGCUAAAACGCGAAAGCGUGGGGAGCAAACAGG